UUGGCUGCUCGCUGCACUUGUCGGGUUGAAAAACCCCUACUGAUAAUUUGGAGUUACCCCAAAUGGCAAUGACCGCCGCUCAAAAAGCAGACAUCGUUAAAGACUUCCAGCGCAGCGAA
Molecule: non-coding RNA, 119 nt
Organism: Chromobacterium sp. LK11
Lineage: Bacteria; Pseudomonadati; Pseudomonadota; Betaproteobacteria; Neisseriales; Chromobacteriaceae
Source: Rfam